GGUGUAGGUGGCUCUGCAAGUCAGGAGUGAAAGCCCCAGGCUUAACCUGGGAAGUGCUUUUGAUACUGCAGAGCUUGAAUGUGGGAGAGGAUGGUGGAAUUCCAGGUGUAGUGGUGAAAUACGUAGAUAUCUGGAGGAACUCCGGUGGCGAAGGCGGCCAUCUGGCCCAACAUUGACACUGACGAACCGAAAGCGUGGGGAUCAAAC
Molecule: ribosomal RNA, 207 nt
Filed under: uncultured bacterium
Lineage: Bacteria
Description: partial 16S ribosomal RNA
Rfam family: Bacterial small subunit ribosomal RNA
Source: RNAcentral